Molecule: ribosomal RNA, 630 nt
Filed under: Triticum aestivum (bread wheat)
Lineage: Eukaryota; Viridiplantae; Streptophyta; Magnoliopsida; Poales; Poaceae
Description: partial small subunit ribosomal RNA
Source: RNAcentral
AUGGAGGUCGACCACCAGCGGUUGUCGUUCCUCAUGGAAGCCACCUCCAUCACCGGCAACGACGACGGCUCACCUCCCGCCUCUGCAGGGGACGCGGCCGGCGACCACACUGGAGGCGGCGAGUUCAUGGCGACUCCUGUCGCGUGGCCGGCGCUGGGACUCCAGGGGAGCUCCAGUGGUUCAUGCAGUGCGCAGGAGUCGCCGUUCAUCGGGGUGCGGAAGCGGCCGUGGGGCAAGUACGCGGCGGAGAUCCGGGACUCCACCCGCAACGGCGCCCGUGUUUGGCUUGGCACGUUCGACACUCCGCAUGCCGCCGCGCUCGCCUACGACCAGGCCGCCUUCUCCGUGCGCGGCCCGGCCGCCGUGCUCAACUUCCCGGUCAAGCUUGUGCAGGAGUCGCUGCGCGCGCUCGGCAUCGGCGGGGCUGCCACCGCGGGGGACUCGCCUGCGCUCGCGCUGAAGCGCCGCCACUGCAUCCGGAAGAGAAAUCCCAAGAACAAGAGGAAGACGGGCACGACAACGACGGCAGCGGGGGCCGAUACUGCAUCGUCAUUGUCAACGUGCGUGCUGGAGCUGGAGGACCUUGGAGCCGACUACCUCGAGGAGCUGCUCACCUUGUCCGAUCUGUGA